UUGCUCCCUUAGGUCAGCGGCGGACGGGUGAGUAACACGUGGGUAACCUGCCUGUAAGACUGGGAUAACUCCGGGAAACCGGGGCUAAUACCGGAUGCUUGAUUGAACCGCAUGGUUCAAUCAUAAAAGGUGGCUUUUAGCUACCACUUACAGAUGGACCCGCGGCGCAUUAGCUAGUUGGUGAGGUAACGGCUCACCAAGGCGACGAUGCGUAGCCGACCUGAGAGGGUGAUCGGCCACACUGGGACUGAGACACGGCCCAGACUCCUACGGGAGGCAGCAGUAGGGAAUCUUCCGCAAUGGACGAAAGUCUGACGGAGCAACGCCGCGUGAGUGAUGAAGGUUUUCGGAUCGUAAAACUCUGUUGUUAGGGAAGAACAAGUACCGUUCGAAUAGGGCGGCACCUUGACGGUACCUAACCAGAAAGCCACGGCUAACUACGUGCCAGCAGCCGCGGUAAUACGUAGGUGGCAAGCGUUGUCCGGAAUUAUUGGGCGUAAAGCGCGCGCAGGCGGUUUCUUAAGUCUGAUGUGAAAGCCCCCGGCUCAACCGGGGAGGGUCAUUGGAAACUGGGGAACUUGAGUGCAGAAGAGGAGAGUGGAAUUCCACGUGUAGCGGUGAAAUGCGUAGAGAUGUGGAGGAACACCAGUGGCGAAGGCGACUCUCUGGUCUGUAACUGACGCUGAGGCGCGAAAGCGUGGGGAGCGAACAGGAUUAGAUACCCUGGUAGUCCACGCCGUAAACGAUGAGUGCUAAGUGUUAGAGGGUUUCCGCCCUUUAGUGCUGCAGCAAACGCAUUAAGCACUCCGCCUGGGGAGUACGGUCGCAAGACUGAAACUCAAAGGAAUUGACGGGGGCCCGCACAA
RNAcentral lists this ribosomal RNA (866 nucleotides) under Bacillus sp. (in: firmicutes). Its description in RNAcentral is "bacterial SSU rRNA". It matches the Rfam family "Bacterial small subunit ribosomal RNA", at positions 79 to 928 of the family's 1533-position model. The record is from RNAcentral. Lineage: Bacteria; Bacillati; Bacillota; Bacilli; Caryophanales; Bacillaceae.